AAUGAUGGAAUGACUCUCGGCAACGGAUAUCUCGGCUCUCGCAUCGAUGAAGAACGUAGCGAAAUGCGAUACGUGGUGUGAAUUGCAGAAUCCCGUGAACCAUCGAGUUUUUGAACGCAAGUUGCGCCCGAGGCCAUUCGGCUGAGGGCACGCCUGCCUGGGCGUCAGUU
This 170-nucleotide ribosomal RNA is filed under the name Juncus effusus. Its description in RNAcentral is "5.8S ribosomal RNA". It matches the Rfam family "5.8S ribosomal RNA". Rfam says of the family: 5.8S ribosomal RNA (5.8S rRNA) is a component of the large subunit of the eukaryotic ribosome. The record is from RNAcentral. Lineage: Eukaryota; Viridiplantae; Streptophyta; Magnoliopsida; Poales; Juncaceae.